UAUAAAAGAUAAAAGAUUUCUACAUGUUG
This 29-nucleotide non-coding RNA is filed under the name Mus musculus (house mouse). Lineage: Eukaryota; Metazoa; Chordata; Mammalia; Rodentia; Muridae. The record is from RNAcentral.